RNAcentral lists this long non-coding RNA (288 nucleotides) under Malus domestica (apple). RNAcentral's name for it is "long non-coding RNA (MDOM_LNC005866)". The record is from RNAcentral. Lineage: Eukaryota; Viridiplantae; Streptophyta; Magnoliopsida; Rosales; Rosaceae.
UUCAAAGCAUUCCUCAAAGGUUCCUUACGUGAUGAGCACAAUAAAGAUACAAUCAAGAAUCAUUAAGCACAAUGAGAACUAUAAGUGUUGACGAGGCAUUCGUUACUAUGAUGAGCAUGAAACUAGUGCCAAGAAUUCAUUCAACGCGAUCGUUUUCAAGCGACCUUCACUACUUGUGAUUAUAAGAUUGUAACUAUUAGGUGAAACUCCCUCAUAAUAUAGCAUCAUAUUCAUGCAUGAAAACUAAGCGUGCACUCUCAAUCAACAUACACAAAUAAGUUAUCAAUC